GACGAACGCUGGCGGCGUGCCUAAUACAUGCAAGUAGAACGCUGAAGGAGGAGCUUGCUUCUCUGGAUGAGUUGCGAACGGGUGAGUAACGCGUAGGUAACCUGCCUGGUAGCGGGGGAUAACUAUUGGAAACGAUAGCUAAUACCGCAUAAGAGUAGAUGUUGCAUGACAUUUGCUUAAAAGGUGCAAUUGCAUCACUACCAGAUGGACCUGCGUUGUAUUAGCUAGUUGGUGAGGUAACGGCUCACCAAGGCGACGAUACAUAGCCGACCUGAGAGGGUGAUCGGCCACACGGGGACGGAGACACGGCCCAGACUACUACGGGAGGCAGCAGUAGGGAAUCUUCGGCAAUGGACGGGAGUAUGACAGAGCAACGCGGCGUGAGUGAAGAAGGUUUUCGGAUCGUAAAGCUCUGUUGUAAGAGAAGAACGAGUGUGAGAGUGGAAAGUUCACACUGUGACGGUAUCUUACCAGAAAGGGACGGCUAACUACGUG
Molecule: ribosomal RNA, 495 nt
Filed under: uncultured bacterium
Lineage: Bacteria
Description: partial 16S ribosomal RNA
Rfam family: Bacterial small subunit ribosomal RNA
Source: RNAcentral